CCUCCAGACUCCUACGGGAGGCAGCAGUGGGGAAUAUUGCACAAUGGGGGAAACCCUGAUGCAGCGACGCCGCGUGAGCGAUGAAGUAUUUCGGUAUGUAAAGCUCUAUCAGCAGGGAAGAAGAUGACGGUACCUGACUAAGAAGCCCCGGCUAACUACGUGCCAGCAGCCGCGGUAAUACGUAGGGGGCAAGCGUUAUCCGGAUUUACUGGGUGUAAAGGGAGCGUAGACGGCGAUGCAAGCCAGAUGUGAAAGCCCGGGGCUCAACCCCGGGACUGCAUUUGGAACUGUGUGGCUGGAGUGUCGGAGAGGCAGGCGGAAUUCCUAGUGUAGCGGUGAAAUGCGUAGAUAUUAGGAGGAACACCAGUGGCGAAGGCGGCUUACUGGACUGUAACUGACGUUGAGGCUCGAAAGCGUGGGGAGCAAACAGGAUUAGAUACCCUGGUAA
This 448-nucleotide ribosomal RNA is filed under the name uncultured bacterium. RNAcentral's name for it is "bacterial SSU rRNA". It matches the Rfam family "Bacterial small subunit ribosomal RNA", at positions 328 to 793 of the family's 1533-position model. The record is from RNAcentral.